Molecule: ribosomal RNA, 741 nt
Filed under: uncultured bacterium
Lineage: Bacteria
Description: bacterial SSU rRNA
Rfam family: Bacterial small subunit ribosomal RNA
Source: RNAcentral
AGAGUUUGAUCCUGGCUCAAAACGAACGCUGGCGGCAGGCUUAACACAUGCAAGUCGAACGCCCCGCAAGGGGAGUGGCAGACGGGUGAGUAACGCGUGGGAACAUACCCUUUCCUGCGGAAUAGCUCCGGGAAACUGGAAUUAAUACCGCAUACGCCCUACGGGGGAAAGAUUUAUCGGGGAAGGAUUGGCCCGCGUUGGAUUAGCUAGUUGGUGGGGUAAAGGCCUACCAAGGCGACGAUCCAUAGCUGGUCUGAGAGGAUGAUCAGCCACAUUGGGACUGAGACACGGCCCAAACUCCUACGGGAGGCAGCAGUGGGGAAUAUUGGACAAUGGGCGCAAGCCUGAUCCAGCCAUGUUUUUGUGAGUGAUGAAGGCCUUAGGGUUGUAAAGCUCUUUCACCGGAGAAGAUAAUGACGGUAUCCGGAGAAGAAGCCCCGGCUAACUUCGUGCCAGCAGCCGCGGUAAUACGAAGGGGGCUAGCGUUGUUCGGAAUUACUGGGCGUAAAGCGCACGUAGACGGAUAUUUAAGUCAGGGGUGAAAUCCCAGAGCUCAACUCUGGAACUGCCUUUGAUACUGGGUAUCUUGAGUAUGGAAGAGGUAAGUGGAAUUCCGAGUGUAGAGGUGAAAUUCGUAGAUAUUCGGAGGAACACCAGUGGCGAAGGCGGCUUACUGGUCCAUUACUGACGCUGAGGUGCGAAAGCGUGGGGAGCAAACAGGAUUAGAUACCCUGAUAGUCC